Molecule: RNA transcript, 3834 nt
Organism: Galeopterus variegatus (Sunda flying lemur)
Lineage: Eukaryota; Metazoa; Chordata; Mammalia; Dermoptera; Cynocephalidae
Exons: 1
Source: RefSeq, a predicted model, not a curated record
AUGUGGCUGCUCCAGGUGUUCGCUUUCAGUUUCUUAGCCCUGUGCGGAGCCCAAGUGCGUGCCCAAGAACCCGAGUUCAGCUACGGCUGCGCUGAAAGCAGCUGCUACCCCGCCACAGGCGACCUUCUCAUCGGCCGGGCACAGAAGCUCUCGGUGACCUCGACGUGCGGACUGCACAAGCCCGAGCCCUACUGUAUCGUCAGCCAUCUGCAGGAGGACAAAAGGUGCUUCAUAUGCAAUUCCCAAGAUCCUUAUCAUGAGACCCUCAAUCCUGACAGCCAUCUCAUUGAAAAUGUGAAGUGUCCGGAGGUGGAGCGGAGGCUGCAAGGGAUCAUUGACCAAAUCCAAGAUGUCCUCAGGGAUGGCAAGGAGAUCAAGUGGCCGAAUGCCCUGUAUCCAGACCUCCACAUGCCCUUUGCGCCAUCCUGGUCUCUGCACUGGGCCUACAGAGACGGACACCUGGGCAACCUGCCAGUUAGCCUGUUGGUAGAAGGAGACAUCAUAGCUCUGAGGCCUGGCCAGGAAUCGUUCACCUCUUUGAGGGGGAUCAAGGAUGAUGAGCACAUUGUCUUGGAGCCGGAAGACCUGUUCCCCCCUUUCUCUCCACCCCCCUCGCCCCGGGGAGAGGUGAAGAAAGGGCCACAGAACCCCCAGCAGCACCGGCUCUUCCGUGUCCUUGAGACCCCUGUCAUUGACAACAUCAGAUGGUGCCUGGACAUGGCCCUGUCCCGCCCAGUUACCGCUCUGGACAAUGAGAGGUUCACAGUGCAGUCCGUGAAGCUGCACUACGCAGUACCCAUUGUCCUGGCCAGCUUCCUCAUCACCAAUGCCCUGCGCUUCAUGUUCAAUGCCCCUGGGGUCACUUUCUGGCAGUACACGCUCCUCCAGCUGCAGGUGAACGGUGUCCUGCCCAUCCUCCCCCUGCUCUUUCCAGUCCUCUGGGUGCUGGCAACUGCCUGUGGAGAAGCCCGUGUCCUGGCCCAGAUGAGCAAGGCCUCGCCCAGCUCCCUGCUGGCCAAGUUCUCAGAGGAUACUCUCAGCAGCUACACAGAAGCUGUCUCCUCUCAGGAAAUGCUACGCUGUAUUUGGGGCCACUUCCUGAGGGUGAUCAAGGGGACGUCACCAACGCUGAGCCAUAGUUCCAGCCUGCUGCACAGUUUAGGCUCUGUCACGGUCCUAUGCUGCAUAGACAAACAGGGGAUCCUUUCAUGGCCAAAUCCCAGCCCAGAGACUGUGCUGUUCUUCAGUGGGAAGGUGGAGCCCCCUCACAGCAGCCAUGAGGACCUCACAGGUGACCUAUCCACUCGUUCCUUCUGCCAUGCUGAGCCCCAUGAACGAGAUGCCCUCCUGGCUGGCUCCCUGAACAACCCCCCGCACAUUUCCAACGAGCAGGAGCGUAGUGACUGGCCUGGUGAUGGCCCCAAGGCCCCUGAGCCUUACUCUCACCACAAAGUGCAUGGCCACAGCAAGCACCCGUCUGGCUCCAACAUGAGCUUCAGCAGGGACACUGAAGGUGGUGAAGAUGAGCCCAGCAAGACACAGCCAGGGAUGGAGGGCGAACCCUAUGAAGCGGAGGACUUUGUGUGUGACUACCACUUGGAGAUGCUGAGCCUGUCCCAGGACCAGCAGAAUCCCUCCUGCAUCCAGUUCGAUGACUCCAACUGGCAGCUGCACCUCACCUCCCUCAAGCCCCUAGGCCUCAACGUGCUGCUGAACCUGUGCAAUGCCAGCGUCACCAAGUGCCUAUGCCGGUUCUCAGACCACCUGUGCAACAUCGCCCUGCAGGAGAGCCACAGCGCCGUGCUGCCGGUGCACGUGCCCUGGGGCCUCUGUGAACUCGCCCGCCUCAUCAGCUUCACUCCUGGCACCAAGGAUCUCUUCAAACAAGAGAACCACCUUGCGCUGUACCGCCUCCCCAGCGCUGAGACAGUGAAGGAGACCUCACUAGGGCAUCUCUCCUGCGUCACCAAGCGAUGCCCUCCCCUCAGCCACAUGAUCAGCCUAUUCAUCAAGGACACCACGACCAGCACAGAGCAGAUGCUGUCCCAUGGCACAGCCGACGUGGUCUUGGAGGCCUGCACAGACUUCUGGGAUGGAGCUGACAUCUGCCCUCUUUCUGGUUCCGACGGAAAGAAAGUGCUGGAUUUCUACCAGCAAGCCUGCCUGUCGGGUUAUUGCUCCGCCUUCACCUACAAGCCCAUGAACUGCGCCCUGUCCUCUCAGCUCAAUGGCAAGUGCAUCGAGCUUGUGCAGGUGCCCGGCCAGAGCAGCAUGUUCACCAUGUGCGAGCUUCCCAGCACUGUCUCCAUUAAGCAGAACACCAGCCGCAACAGCUGGAGCUCUGACAAAGGGAUCGGGGAGGUGCUGGAGAAGGGAGACUGCAUGCAGGCCCUAAGUGGCCAGAUCUUCAUGGGCAUGGUGUCCUCCCAGUACCAGGCCCGGCUGGACACUGUACGCCUUAUUGAUGGGCUGGUCAAUGCCUGCAUCCGCUUUGUCUACUUCUCUUUGGAGGAUGAGCUCAAAAGCAAGGUGUUUGCAGAAAAGAUGGGCCUGGAGACAGGCUGGAACUGCCAUAUCUCCCUCACGCCCAGUGGUGACAUGCCUGGCUCUGAGAUCCCCCCUUCCAGCCCCAGCCAUGCAGGCUCCCUGCAUGAUGAGCUGAAUCAGGUGUCCCGAGAUGAUGUGGAAGGGCUUCUCCUCAUGGAGGAGGAGGGUCAUUCGGACCUUAUCAGCUUCCAGCCUACAGACAGCAACAUCCCCAGCUUCCUGGAGGAUUGCAACCGGGCUAAGCUGCCUUGGGGUAUCCACCAGGUACGGCCCCACCUGCAGAACAUUGACAACAUACCAUAUUCCAUGGAGUAUGACAUUCUAAUUUGCUAUGAGCCACAGCUACCUGACCACUGGGAAAAAGCCGUUGUCAUGGUGCAGCGACCUGGAAAGAUUCCAACCAGCAGCCAAUGUGGUAAUAUUGUUCCCAAUGAUGACAACCAGGUGGUGUCCUUAUCACCAGGCUCAAGGUAUGUUGUACUUUCUCGCCCGGUGUGCUUUGAGAAGGGCAUGAACUACACGGUGAGGUUAGAGCUGCCCCAGUACACCUCCUCUGAUAGUGAUGUGGAAAACCCCUACAUGCUCAUUGACUCGCUCGUUCUCAUGCCGUACUGUAAAUCACUGGACAUCUUCACCGUGGGAGGCUCAGGAGAUGGGGUGGUCACCAACAGUGCCUGGGAAACCUUUCAGAGAUACCGAUGUCUGGAGAACAGCAGAAGCGUUGUGAAAACGCCAAUGACAGAUGUUUGCAGAAAUAUAAUCUUUAGUAUUUCUGCCCUGUUACACCAGACAGGCCUGGCUUGUGAAUGUGACCCUCAGGUUUCAUUAAGUUCUGUGUGUGACCCCAACGGAGGCCAGUGCCAGUGCCGGCCGAACGUGAUUGGAAGAACCUGCACCAGGUGUGCACCUGGAACCUUCGGCUUUGGCCCCGGUGGAUGCAAACCUUGUGAGUGCAAUCUGCAAGGAGCUGUCAAUGCCUUCUGCAAUCCUAUCACUGGCCAGUGUCACUGUUUCCAGGGGGUGUAUGCUCGGCAGUGUGACUGGUGUUUACCUGGGUACUGGGGCUUUCCGAGUUGCCAGCCCUGCCAGUGCAAUGGCCAUGCUGAUGACUGUGACUCAGUGACAAGGGAGUGCUUGAGCUGCCAGGACUAUACCACAGGUCACAACUGUGAAAGGUGCUUGGCUGGUUACUACAACUUGAAUUUAUCAAGAACUCAGAUAUUCCGGGCGCCUUGGAUAGCAUUACCAAGUAUUUCCAGAUGUCUCUUGAGGCAGAAGAGAAGGUAA